This is a long non-coding RNA of Stegodyphus dumicola, 774 nucleotides long. RefSeq lists it as uncharacterized. The record is from RefSeq and is a predicted model, not a curated record. Lineage: Eukaryota; Metazoa; Arthropoda; Arachnida; Araneae; Eresidae.
UUUUUUUUUUUUUUAGAAUUUUAAUGCAAAAUUUUAUUUUAGGUUAAAGAAGAAAGUAAGACAGAAAAAAAAAUGUAAAGGAUCAUCUUCUGUGCUUAUUAAUAAAACAAAGUCUGAUGAGAGCAGUUCACAAGAUGACUCUUCUGAUGAUGCUUAUUCAGAGGAAAAUAGAGAUAAAGAGAUACCUGAAGCAAAAGAAAAUAGUUAUAAAGAUGACGAACAACAUAUUGAAACAAGGAGAAAUGAGUCACAGAACCAAAAUAUAGAUAUUAAAACAACUUCUGUUAUAGAGCACAUGGAUUCAAGUUGAGUAUAUCUGAAUAACAAGCUUUUUUAUGGAAUUCUGGAAUGGAUAAAUUUUGGCUACAAAUUUGCAAUUUCAUCAGAUUUCCACGAAGAGUGAAAUUUUGAAGCUCUACUUUUUAAAUAUCACAAAUUGAUGUAUAUUCGAGCUGAUAUGUAAGAUUUUAAACCAUGUUAUAAGAUUAUUAUUUUAUAUCAGAAGGACAGUAAAGUUUGUGGAAUGAACUUUCCAAGAAUAUUUUAUUCUCAGCAUUUAUAUGAAAUUGUUCUUAAAGAAUGUUUCAGUUCUUUAAUUACUGUUGUAUAUUAUGUAAAAUAAAUUAUUUAUCUUAAAUGCUUUAUUGGAUAAUAAUUGCUCACACUGAGAUUAAACUAUUUCUCAACUGUAUAGAAUAUGUACUUGAGAUUUGGUUACAUUAAGUAGAUCAUCCAGAAUAAUGCUAAAACUGGCCCAUUAAAUAAAGUAUAUGG